GGGGGGGGGGACGGUGUCCUUCAUGACUUUCAAUGAUUUAUUAUGAAGCACAACUUUAACAUUGAAGCUUAAAGGUGGCUCAAAGCUUAUAUUUUCCCUGGAACAUGCAACUAUGCACGAGUGUGGUAAUAUAGAACGUCGAUUCAUAGCUAUAUAUAGCCUAUCGGAGUAUCUCAAUAUAGAUUCCGUAGGAUCAGUGGCGGAUCCAGCCAUUCUAAAAAGGGGGGGGGUCCAACCCAGAACG
This 244-nucleotide long non-coding RNA is filed under the name Mytilus galloprovincialis (Mediterranean mussel). The record is from RNAcentral. Lineage: Eukaryota; Metazoa; Mollusca; Bivalvia; Mytilida; Mytilidae.